RNAcentral lists this ribosomal RNA (764 nucleotides) under uncultured bacterium. RNAcentral's name for it is "bacterial SSU rRNA". It matches the Rfam family "Bacterial small subunit ribosomal RNA", at positions 8 to 752 of the family's 1533-position model. The record is from RNAcentral.
AGAGUUUGAUCCUGGCUCAGAAUCAACGCUGGCGGCGUGCCUCAGACAUGCAAGUCGAACGCGAAAGGCCCCUUCGGGGGCCGAGUAGAGUGGCGCACGGGUGAGUAACACGUAGGUAAUUUGCCUUCGGGUGGGGAAUAACAGCCGGAAACGGCUGCUAAUACCGCAUAAUGCAGCGGCUCGACAUCGAGACAGUUGUUAAAGCGGGGGAUCGCAAGACCUCGCGCCUGAAGAGAAGCCUGCGGCAGAUUAGCUAGUUGGCAGGGUAAUGGCCUACCAAGGCGACGAUCUGUAACCGGCCUGAGAGGGCGGUCGGUCACACUGACACUGACAUACGGGUCAGACUCCUACGGGAGGCAGCAGUCGGGAAUUUUGGGCAAUGGGCGAAAGCCUGACCCAGCAACGCCGCGUGAAGGAUGAAAUCCCUCGGGAUGUAAACUUCGCAAGAAUGGGAAGAAUAAGUAGAAGAUAAUACCUUCUAUGAUGACGGUACCAUUUGUAAGCUCCGGCUAACUCCGUGCCAGCAGCAGCGGUAAUACGGGGGGAGCAAGCGUUGUUCGGAUUUACUGGGCGUAAAGGGCGCGUAGGCGGCCACGACAAGUCACUUGUGAAAUCUCCGGGCUUAACUCGGAACGGUCAAGUGAUACUGUCGGGCUAGAGUGCAGAAGGGGCAACUGGAAUUCUCGGUGUAGCGGUGAAAUGCGUAGAUAUCGAGAGGAACACCUGCGGCGAAGCGGGUUGCUGGGCUGACACUGACGCUGAGC